UGCCCAGCAAAUCCUAUCCCUACCUCCUCGCGGUACUGGCCGGGGUACGAGUAACCUUAGGGAAGAUCGGGUAACCAACCCCCGGUGGGAACUUUGGUCGUAUGCUGACAGGGAAGG
RNAcentral lists this ribozyme (117 nucleotides) under Aedes aegypti (yellow fever mosquito). Its description in RNAcentral is "drz-agam-1 ribozyme". It matches the Rfam family "drz-agam-1 ribozyme". The record is from Rfam by way of RNAcentral. Lineage: Eukaryota; Metazoa; Arthropoda; Insecta; Diptera; Culicidae.